UGUGGGAGCGAGCUUGCUCGCGAUGAGGUUCUCACAUUCAACAUUUUUGUUGACUGUCAGACCGCUAUCGCGAGCAAGCUCGCUCCCACA
This 90-nucleotide unclassified non-coding RNA is filed under the name Pseudomonas moorei. The record is from RNAcentral. Lineage: Bacteria; Pseudomonadati; Pseudomonadota; Gammaproteobacteria; Pseudomonadales; Pseudomonadaceae.